Molecule: transfer RNA, 69 nt
Organism: Camelus ferus (Wild Bactrian camel)
Lineage: Eukaryota; Metazoa; Chordata; Mammalia; Artiodactyla; Camelidae
Rfam family: tRNA
About the family: Transfer RNA (tRNA) molecules are approximately 80 nucleotides in length. Their secondary structure includes four short double-helical elements and three loops (D, anti-codon, and T loops).
Source: Rfam
GGUGUGGCUCAGUGGUAGAGCGUGUGCUUAGUGCGCACGAGGUCCUGGGUGCAAUCCCCAGUCCCUCCA